CCUACGGGGGGCAGCAGUGAGGAAUAUUGGUCAAUGGGCGGAAGCCUGAACCAGCCAAGUCGCGUGAGGGAUUAAGGCCCUAUGGGUCGUAAACCUCUUUUGUCAGGGAGCAAUGGCGUCCACGUGUGGGCGUAUGGAGAGUACCUAAGGAAAAGCAUCGGGUAAAUCCGUGCCAGCCGCCGCGGUAAUACGGAGGGUGCGGACGUUCUCCGGAUUUAUUGGGUUUAAAGGGUGCGUAGGCGGGACCUUAAGUCAGCGGUAAAAUUGCGGUGCUAAACGCCGUAGAGCCGUUGAAACUGGGGUUCUUGAGUAAGCGAGAAGUAUGCGGAAUGCGUGGUGUAGCGGUGAAAUGCAUAGAUAUCACGCAGAACACCGGUGGCGAAGGCGGCCUGCUGGACUGCAACUGACGUUGAGGCCCGAAAGCGUGGGGAGCAAACAGGAUUAGAUACCCGAGUAGUC
Molecule: ribosomal RNA, 459 nt
Filed under: uncultured bacterium
Lineage: Bacteria
Description: partial 16S ribosomal RNA
Rfam family: Bacterial small subunit ribosomal RNA
Source: RNAcentral